UACGUAGGUGGCAAGCGUUGUCCGGAUUUACUGGGUGUAAAGGGCGUGCAGCCGGGUAGGCAAGUCAGGCGUGAAAUCCAAGGGCUUAACCCUUGAACUGCGUUUGAAACUGUUUAUCUUGAGUACCGGAGGGGCAAUCGGAAUUCCUAGUGUAGCGGUGAAAUGCGUAGAUAUUAGGAGGAACACCAGUGGCGAAGGCGGAUUGCUGGACGGCAACUGACGGUGAGGCGCGAAAGUGUGGGGAGCAAAC
RNAcentral lists this ribosomal RNA (250 nucleotides) under uncultured prokaryote. RNAcentral describes it as "partial 16S ribosomal RNA". It matches the Rfam family "Bacterial small subunit ribosomal RNA", at positions 524 to 773 of the family's 1533-position model. The record is from RNAcentral.